GUUCUCACUUUGGCAGCACAUAUAUUAAAAUUGGAAUGAUAUAGAGAUUAACAUGGCCCCUGCGCAAGAAUGACACACAAAUUCGUGAAGUAUUCCAUAUUUUA
Pteropus alecto (black flying fox) is the source of this 104-nucleotide non-coding RNA. The record is from Rfam. Lineage: Eukaryota; Metazoa; Chordata; Mammalia; Chiroptera; Pteropodidae.